Molecule: ribosomal RNA, 231 nt
Filed under: uncultured bacterium
Lineage: Bacteria
Description: partial 16S ribosomal RNA
Rfam family: Bacterial small subunit ribosomal RNA
Source: RNAcentral
CGGACGGGUGAGUAAUGUAUGGGGAUCUGCCUGAUGGCGGGGGAUAACUACUGGAAACGGUAGCUAAUACCGCAUAAUGUCUACGGACCAAAGAGGGGACCUUCGGGCCUCGCGCCAUCAGAUGAACCCAUAUGGGAUUAGCUUGUAGGUAAGGUAACGGCUUACCUAGGCGACGAUCCCUAGCUGGUCUGAGAGGAUGAUCAGCCACACUGGGACUGAGACACGGCCCAG